AAAUAAAUAAAUAAAGAAAGAUUGCUACACGGAGAUAGAAAUAGAGAGGCGAUGAGACCUAGAGAAAGAAAUAGAGAAAGAAGCAGAGUUAGAGACAUCUCAAGCCAGUACCACUGUCGGACUUUGACCACCAAAAUUCUUGCUUCCCUCAAUUGGCGAUGCACUGUUAUAGAACUUAGACCGCCGGAACUGCAAGCACACAGAAAGAAACCGUUAGGCCAUACAUCUGCCACCCAGAUCGUCGAAACCGGCUCCAGUAUUUUUUCUUUCCAUUUUUUAGUUUUGGAUCUAUCAUCUCUUCUCUGGCUUAUAAGACAGUUGGUAGCUAUUCAAGAAGAGCUACUUGAUUAAAUAGAAAGGGGACUUCAUAUGAAGUUGUUGAUGCUCCCAUGGUAAGCAACUCUGAACUCUGGGAACUGUGUAAAGAGAAGUAUGAAACACUAUGGCUUAAAGGGGGAAACCACUGUGAUUUGGAGCUUAGAUUGAGCACAAGAUUCUUUCUUCAAUAUCUAUGCUCAAUUUUGGUAGAAUCUUACUUUAGCCACUUAAAGUAAAGAAUUAAGAAAUCAUUUUUGUAAUUGAACAUGCAUUUGAAUAGAAAAUAAAAGUGUUCAUAUAUAAUUUCUCAACAAAAUCUCAAAAUUAGCUUUUUCUUUGUCCAUUAACAUACAGCUUAUAAUUUGGUUUAUAAAUAAUAUGUUUUGUGUAAAUUUGUGUCCUGAGGUAGCUUAAACAAAAUAUAGUUUCUUAUCAAACUUUGUGGUCUAUAUGCAUUUAUGAUUUUUUUUUUUUUAAUAGUUUCUUAUCAAGCUUCUAAGAUACAUUUACUUGGUGUAGUAUAUAAAUUUUGGGGUUGAAUGAAAUCUACAAAGGUCUAUAUUCAUUCCUCAUGAAAGGGACAUGAUAGGGAAAAAAUAAGAAGGGGAAAAAAAAUUUGGCCAAUUGUAAGGUAGCAGGAACAAAUCUCACAUCAUUCAAAUUCUUUGUUUCUCUUUUUCUCUCACUCUCUGUCUCAAAAGGGGGAUAUUUAUUCAUCUACCUUAAAAGAACAACUGAGAUAUGAAAUGAGCACAUAACUACACAAAAAGCAAUGUAGAGACACAUUGGAAUUCAGAUGAAAAAAAAAGUUAGCUGAUGUUGAAUCAGCAUCUUCAAGUGUACUUGGUUGGAUUGUUUUAGAUUUAGAUAUUUGAGUUAGAUUUGGUUUUAAUUACGGUAUUGGAUUUAAAAUAAAUUUUGUAUUGGGUAUUUGUAUUUGAUUUGGUUUUGUUUUAAAUAAUUGGGUUAAAUUA
This is a long non-coding RNA of Quercus robur (English oak), 1292 nucleotides long. RefSeq lists it as uncharacterized. The transcript has 4 exons. Lineage: Eukaryota; Viridiplantae; Streptophyta; Magnoliopsida; Fagales; Fagaceae. The record is from RefSeq and is a predicted model, not a curated record.